Molecule: ribosomal RNA, 550 nt
Filed under: Zoanthus solanderi
Lineage: Eukaryota; Metazoa; Cnidaria; Anthozoa; Zoantharia; Zoanthidae
Description: partial 16S ribosomal RNA
Rfam family: Bacterial large subunit ribosomal RNA
Source: RNAcentral
GAGGGUGAUGCCUGCCCAAUGGUUGUAUCUAAAAGCGGUUGAUAAAAGUCGACCUUGUAAGGACAAUUGAAUGGCCGCGGUAACACUGACCGUGAUAAUGUAGCGUAAUCAAUAGCCAAUUAAUUGUUGGCCAGUAUGAAUGGCGCCACGAAGGCCCCACUGUCUUAAGGAAAUUCCCAGUGAAAUUGAAUUUGUAGUGAAGAUGCUACGUCCAAUUUGUUAGACGAAAAGACCCCGUUGAGCUUUACUGGAGCACUUACAUGGCCCCGGCCUUCCCAUGCCUGGGAAUCGGCCGAAUUUAAAUGGGCGGCUUAGAUUAUGUGGCAGCCCCCCGCUGGGGCAAAUGAAACACCACUCCCCCAUGUCAAAGGGGCUAACCCCCCCCCCUUGGGGGGGACAGUGUAAGUAGGACAGUUUGGUUGGGGCGACCGCCUUUUAAAAAGUAACGAAGGUGCGCUUAAGGUGCGCAAUUAAUGACUGAAGCCUGACUGCGAGGGGGACACCCCGAGCAGACACCCCAAAGCCCGCCCGAAGGGCGGCGGUGGGGUGG